GUUUUAUUUUCAUCAAUUUUAUGAAUUGUAUUAUAAUUUUUUCGCUCAGCGAAAUGACAUUGCACAAGCAUAUUAAUCUUUAGCAAAUACCGAUCUCAUCAGUUGUCAUCCAUACAAGGGAAACGGAGGUGGGAUGGGAUAAGCAACUAAAGAAGAUGAACAAAGAUCAUACAUAAGGUAGAUGUAACCAUUCAUAAAUAUCCAUUGUUCACAGAAGAUUCAAAUUACAUAUUUGGAAUUCAAAUUUAGAAAACACAAUUCCACUUGUGUCAAAGGGAAAUCCUCUCGAUAUUAUUCUAUACUUUUAUAUUUUGAGCAUCAACUCCAAGCACAGCAACCUAUACACCGUCUUCAGUCACCUGAAUUGAGAACACAUCAUCAGCACCAACAAUAAAAGCGAGUCCACAAGGCCAAAUUAUUGCCUACCCUAAGCAUGCAAAACAGCAAAAGGGACAAAACGAGUAUGAUACAUCCAGGACAGGUAUCUCGUACAAAAUGGUUAGCAUCAUAAUGCAGUUGUUACCUGUGAACCAACAAAAUUAUAAUGGUCAAUCAGAAUCCAAAGUUUGUCAUUUAAUAUCCGCAAUUUUACCAAACAUUAGCCCACCACCGCACAAAGAACACAUUAGUCAAAUCUGCCCUACAUUAAAUAGUAAAUACUGCACUUAGAGAUUAACAGUCGGCUUAAGUAAUGACUAUUAUAUAAGAGCAUUUGUAUUUUGAAUUUUUACAGAUUGAUGUCACACCGGUGAAAGUAAAUGGAGUUUCUAUUAUAACUUUGUUUUCUUACGAAGUAGAUCUUAUUUUGUCAAUAAUUAUUAUAAAUGAAUUGCAAUUAUAGAAGCAGAAAUAAUAUGAGUUGACAUCAUUAAGUAAUGAGUUGUCUAAUAAAAGAUUAUCAUACAGGAACCCUAGGAAGAACAAUACAGUAGAUCUAUGGUGACAAGUCAUAUCUCCGGAUCUCCAACACAAUAUAUAACGAUGCCAGAAAAUCUACAUGGUGAAAUUGAAUUCAUAAAACAUAAAGUUAAUGAAACAUUUUAACAAACCCCAAAAAUUGUAUCCCAUAAGGUGUUUUGGAAUAUAUGAAUUGUCUUUUCUUGCUUUUCUAUUAUUGAGUACUGUUUAAGUAAAACCAGCUAUUGGAUUCUGCAUUUACACACUAACAUAACAUCAAUUCAAUUCUUCAAAACCCAGUUACAACAAAAAGCCAAACUUCAGCCAUUAAAAGCAUUCCUUUUCAUCUGAGACACGAAGUUCUUCAUAUUGAACUCGACUAUAGUCAACUAAUAAUUUCCUAUCAAAUUUCAAGAGAUAUUUUCAGUAUUGACAUGUUUUAACAUCAAAUUCACUAAAUUUCCAAAUGCUAGGGCAUCGCACUUGUGCUUUAAUCAAAGCAGAGUAUGUAAAUUUACUAGCAGUUACCCAGCUAAGCUGUAGAGUCUGAAGGGGCAUCCCCAAUUAGCUUGAAUUCCUGGACCUCCUUAAAAUUCAACCAUGGCUUUUCCCAAACCUUGGCUUCGUAAACUUUCUUUUGACCGCCAUCAGUUACCUCCAAAGUAAUAUAGUAAAUGGUCCCAGCCACCACCUGCUGCUUUGCAUUCACCACUUUCUUAAACUCCAGCAGCGCAUUCUGUUCAAAGUUCAUACCAUGUAUUUUCAGAGAACAAGAAAUUGAAAGCUUAAAAUUCAACUAAAAAAAGAAAAUUCCAAUUAAUCAAAAUUCCUAAUGAAAAUUAUUUUUAAAAAAAUACAGAAAUGAAAUUCAAUUAAAAGAACAUAUUUCAAACCAAAAUUAAACAAGGCACAGAAUUCAAUCAGCACAUAAAAAAAUCAACAAAAGAGGGAAAAAAAAGAAAUAGAAUUAAACUGGAAAAGCAUCAUCGUCAUCCUCAUCCUCAAAGUCAAAUUGAAUGAAAUUCAGAUCUUAAACUGGAUUGAGAACCUGUUUCUGGUUGUAAUCAUCGACAGCAUAACGAGCGAGGCUAUUGAUCUCAACGCUGUUGGCCGAUCCCUCCACUUCCUUAACACCUCCUAGUUUUGCCAUUUCCUUGGAAUUUUCUUUUCUUUUCUUUUCUUUAAUUAACAUUGGCGGAUUCUAUUCUGGAGGCAAAGCAAGAGAGGAAUUUGAAUGCGAGGAAAUAUGGAUACGACGUCGUCUAUUCGAUCUAUUGAUCAGGCCGUCGAGGAGAUCAUGAGAAUUCACAGAUCGUUACCGACGAGACCUGGG
RNAcentral lists this unclassified non-coding RNA (2230 nucleotides) under Hevea brasiliensis (rubber tree). The record is from RNAcentral. Lineage: Eukaryota; Viridiplantae; Streptophyta; Magnoliopsida; Malpighiales; Euphorbiaceae.